This is a long non-coding RNA of Halichondria panicea, 806 nucleotides long. RefSeq lists it as uncharacterized. Lineage: Eukaryota; Metazoa; Porifera; Demospongiae; Suberitida; Halichondriidae. The record is from RefSeq and is a predicted model, not a curated record. The transcript has 7 exons.
UAUAGUGCCUAUUUUACAUGUAAAAAGGUUUCAGGAAUUGUAGAAACCUUUGAAGAAAGUGACGACAUCUAAAUUUCAAUGUACGCUGAUCCAGUUGAACGACACUGAAAUUUCUCCACACAUGAUCUACACCGAUUACCGAGAAAGAAAGUCGAGCUCUCAGCUGUGAACAUGCCGACAACCUCAUACAAACUCUACCACACAAACAUGAAGAGAGAGAACAUGUGAAUGUCCAUUGUUCGAACACAAGUGUGGGGCUGGAAAUGGGUCAACCCUACUUGAAACACACGUGACUGGAGAGGACUGUGAAUUGUCAACCCAUCAAGUAAUGAAGCAGAAUCGACACUUUACUCCUGAGAACGAAGUACCCCCUGUGAUAAACUGGAAGUGACCUUGAGGCUUAAGGUUGAGAUGUACGCAAAUCCAAUCAAUCUCGUACCACCUAGUGAUGGGAAAGAUACCUCUAAGCGUCAAGUGAAAAUGUAUGCAGACCCGGACGACAUCAUACCAACUCCCCAGCUGCCGCCACGCAAUUUCGACAAAGGAGAGCAUUUAAACAUGCCUGUUCAAGACAGGGGUCAGUGCUUUCUCUCAGUGAUUUGGUGAGUGCCUCUGGGUCCCGAUGAAGACGCUGCAGCUGAACCAUUUCUUCAGUGUCCCUAUCCUACCAACUCUGAGAAGACCAUGUUGGCACAAUAAUGCAGGAAUGUCUAGAAAACAUCUCGAUUACUGGUUUGCAAAUGCUAUAUAGAAGAAACAUCAGUAAAAAGUUUUUUUGUUUUUUUUUUUUGUUUUUUUUUCUCCCC